Molecule: ribosomal RNA, 334 nt
Filed under: uncultured Lachnospiraceae bacterium
Lineage: Bacteria; Bacillati; Bacillota; Clostridia; Lachnospirales; Lachnospiraceae
Description: bacterial SSU rRNA
Rfam family: Bacterial small subunit ribosomal RNA
Source: RNAcentral
AGUAGUUUGAUCAUGGCUCGAGGACGAACGCUGGCGGCGUGCCUAACACAUGCAAGUCGAACGGAGUCAGAAAGCUUGCUUUUUGACUUAGUGGCGGACGGGUGAGUAACGCGUGGGUAACCUGCCUUGUACAGGGGGAUAACAGUUAGAAAUGACUGCUAAUACCGCAUAAGCGCACAGUACUGCAUGGUACAGUGUGAAAAACUCCGGUGGUACAAGAUGGACCCGCGUCUGAUUAGCCAGUUGGCAGGGUAACGGCCUACCAAAGCAACGAUCAGUAGCCGACUUGAGAGAGUGAUCGGCCACAAUGGAACUGAGACACGGUCCAUACUCC